GAUGAACGCUAGCUACAGGCUUAACACAUGCAAGUCGAGGGGCAGCAGGAACAAAGCUUGCUUUGUUUGCUGGCGACCGGCGCACGGGUGCGUAACGCGUAUCGAACCUGCCCUAUACCCGGGGAUAGCCUUGCGAAAGUAAGAUUAAUACCCGAUGUUGUUAUUCCAUCGCAUGAUGUUUUAACCAAAGAUUUAUCGGUAUAGGAUGGCGAUGCGUGACAUUAGGUAGUAGGUGAGGUAACGGCUCACCUAGCCUACGAUGUCUAGGGGUUCUGAGAGGAAGGUCCCCCACACUGGAACUGAGACACGGUCCAGACUCCUACGGGAGGCAGCAGUGAGGAAUAUUGGUCAAUGGUCGAGAGACUGAACCAGCCAAGUAGCGUGCAGGAUGACGGCCCUCUGGGUUGUAAACUGCUUUUAGUUGGGAAUAAAAGGGAGUACGUGUACUCUGUAUUGUAUGUACCAUCAGAAAAAGGACCGGCUAAUUCCGUGCCAGCAGCCG
This 502-nucleotide ribosomal RNA is filed under the name uncultured bacterium. RNAcentral describes it as "bacterial SSU rRNA". It matches the Rfam family "Bacterial small subunit ribosomal RNA", at positions 28 to 517 of the family's 1533-position model. The record is from RNAcentral.